GGCCUCUUUCUGUUUGGUCAAUCAGCAGCUGCAAAGGAUGCGUAGGAUGGAGCUAAAUUUAUUUGUUCCUUUCUUUCUCAGCAACAGCGAUGAGGCCCGAGGUGCAGCUGUCUCGCCUCGCCUGUCUUUUGCAGGCACCGGCAUGCACAGAAGACGGCUCUCCGGGAGGAAGAUUCCUUUCCAUUUUGUUCGCUCUCUGCCUCCGCAAGGCUCCCAGCCACCUCUAGGGAGUACAGGGCGAGAUCCUGUGCCAGCGGCUCCAGUUUUGCUGAGUCAGAAGAAUCCCACAGCCGCUCACCGGAAACACAGCUGUUGGGCGAAAAUAACCACAGAGCUGAGCAUCAUGCACCUUCCAGAAAAGAUGGCAGAAAACCUCAAAACAAAAGAGAAAUACAAAACAAUAAGAGACACUGUCAAGAAAAAAAAAAAAAAAAACCACCGCAGCUCACUAACCGAUCCAAGCUGGUGGCGCUCUCCUGAUCUCUCUCCACUCCCAGGCCAAGCAAUGACUCUGAAAUAAAGCUAAGUUUGGCUGCGUUUAUUUACAUACACACACACACACACACCUUUUUUUUUUUUUUUUUUUUUUAAAGAGACUGUCUUGCUGUGUCGCCCAGGCUGGAAUACAAUGGUGUGAUCUCGGCUCACUGCAACCUCUGCCUACUGGGUUCAAGCGGUUCUCCUGCCUCAGCCUUCCGAGUAGCUAGGAUUACAAGUGCGCUACCAGCCCAGCCAAUUUUUGUAUUUUUAGUAGAGACGAGGUUUCACCAUGUUGGCCAGGCUUGUCUCGAACUCCUGACCUCAAGUAAUCCACCCACCUCGGCCUCCUGAAGUCUUGGGAUUAUAGGUGUGAGCCAUCACACCUGGCCUACUUUUACACUGUAGUGGGUUUAAUCGUGUCUCCCCAGUCACACCUCCACCAAAAAAGGAAAAGCUAUGUCCACAGUCUAAUGUGCUGCAGCACCUGUGAAUGUGAUCUUAAUGGAGAAAGGAUCUUUGCAGGUGUAAAUUAAUUUUAGGAUCUCAAGAUUAAAUCAUCCUAGACUACCUGGGUGGACCUCAAAUCCAAUGACAGGUAUCCUUAUAAAAGCAAGGCAGAUCCAGCUUGGGCAACAUAGUGAGACCCUGUUUCUACAAAAAGUUUAAAAAAAAAAAAAAGGCUGGGCAUAGUGGCUCACACCUCUAAUCCCAGCAUCUUGGGAGUCCCAGGUGGGCAGAUCACUUGAGGUCAGGAGUUCAAGACCAGCCUGCCCAAUGUGGCUUAACCUCAUCUCUACUAAAAAUACAAAAAUUAGCUGGGCAUGGUAGUGCAUGCCUGUAAUCCCUGCUAUGGGAGGCUGAGACACAAGAAUCACUCGAACCCAGGAAGCAGAGAUUGCAGUGAGCUGAGAUCGUGCCACUGCACUCCAGCUUGGGCAACAGAGCACGACUCCAUCUCGGAAAAAAAAAAAAAGAUGCCGUGGGGGAGAGUGGUGCGUGCCUGUGGUCCCAGCUACUUGUGAGGCUGAGACAGGAGGAUCUCUUGAGCCCAGAAGUUCGAGGCUGCAGUGAGCUAUGAUGGCACCACUGUACUCCAGCCUGGGUGACCAAGUGAGACUUUGUCUCAAAAUAAAAAGAAUGUGGCAGAGGUAGAUGGAUAGAUU
Long non-coding RNA from Piliocolobus tephrosceles (Ugandan red Colobus), 1643 nucleotides. NCBI's taxonomy places the organism in Eukaryota, Metazoa, Chordata, Mammalia, Primates, Cercopithecidae. The record is from Ensembl.